CAGGCAACUUCUUAAUUGUUUCUAUAGAUUAGUUGAAUUUUGUAAUAAGGGUAAACAAUACAAAUUUUAUACUUUUAGCAUUCCUCUCAAGCAAAGUUAAUUUAUCGGGCUUGCAAUUAGAUGCUGUGCAUAAAUAAUAGGGACUUGCUAAAUAUUUAGAGAUUUGAAUUCUCGUUUUAGAGGUGUUUAGCCUUAGCCCCAGUGCUAAAUAUUUUAUGCUUCAAUGCGUAAAUUAGCACAUACAAGAAUGGGGUAUUUAACUGAUUCUGCAUAGGAAUUUAGAUAUUUGAUUAUGAGAGUCUAGAAUAUGUAGAAAUUAAUUGAAUAUAAUUAUCAUGUAUUUAUUUUGUUCAUUGCAGCAAAACAUGAA
Molecule: unclassified non-coding RNA, 370 nt
Filed under: Hevea brasiliensis (rubber tree)
Lineage: Eukaryota; Viridiplantae; Streptophyta; Magnoliopsida; Malpighiales; Euphorbiaceae
Source: RNAcentral